This 253-nucleotide ribosomal RNA is filed under the name uncultured bacterium. Its description in RNAcentral is "partial 16S ribosomal RNA". It matches the Rfam family "Bacterial small subunit ribosomal RNA", at positions 524 to 776 of the family's 1533-position model. The record is from RNAcentral.
UACGGAGGGUGCAAGCGUUAUCCGGAUUCACUGGGUUUAAAGGGAGCGUAGGUGGCUUUGUAAGUCAGUGGUGAAAUAUUGCGGCUCAACCGCAAAACUGCCAUUGAUACUGCUUAGCUUGAAUCACGUCGAGGUGGAUGGAAUAAUACAUGUAGCGGUGAAAUGCUUAGAUAUGUAUUAGAACACCGAUUGCGAAGGCAGUUCACUAGGCGUGUAUUGACACUGAGGCUCGAAGGCGUGGGGAUCAAACAGG